AUGGUUCCACCUGGUCCCAACUUUCAAGAACAGCCUUGGUUUCUUCAUCUCCCACCCUUCCCAGCUUUGGACCCUAUGCUGUGUGGGUGCUGCAGAACUCCUUUCUCACUUUCUCCAAGACGUCUCCCUGGCUCUUCCCAAGCAGGUCACAUCGCUGUCGUGCUUCCUCCUGGGUCACAAACUCCUUGCCAGCACUUAUCCGGAGUGGGGUGAAAUCGCUCAGUAGCCCACAGGCAGCCUGCAAGACUCCUGCAAGGGCAACCAGAAGUGCUGCUUCUCCAGCCGCAGAGGAACAAUGCAGGUAUCAGAGGCGGUGGCAAUGGCAACAAUAAGGUAAUAAUAUUCAUAAUAAUAAUAGUAAGUGCCAUUUACCACCGUUAUAUUGUUGAAUGGUCACCACAGCCCUGACAGAGUAGCUGUGAUUACUUAGUUAUAGAUGAAGAACCCAAGAAAGUAGUACGAGGUCACACGAGAAGAACCAGAAUCAAAACCGAGUUAUCUGCACAUCUCAUCUCCAGACCAUGUGCUUCCCACCUUCCAUCUCCUCUGUGUGAAAGCUUUUCAGCCCCAGUAGGAGGCAACCAUCUACUUUCCCUGAACCACUUUCUAUACAGGCUCCCCAAGCCAGACAGUGAAUCCACUGGUAUUCAAGAAGACAGGCUGUGUGCACAGUGCCACAACAGGCUACUAGGGGCUCUUUCCUUUUUUUUGGUCGGGGGUACUAGGGAUCAAACUCAGCAAGGCAGGCAGCAAAAUCUCUAAGCUAAAUCCCUGGCCCUUCUCUUUCCUAUUUCUGAAUGGAUGUGCCUUAUGCGGGACACCUCAGUAUAUGCUCAUAAAAGUUAUCAACAUCUCUCUAAAAUUGAAUGGAAAUAGGUUUUUGAAUAAAGAUGUUUAUUCUCUACCAGGUACUUAGCAUUUUUAUGUGACAGAAAAUGUUAAUUACAUAAACAAG
Molecule: long non-coding RNA, 955 nt
Filed under: Fukomys damarensis (Damara mole-rat)
Lineage: Eukaryota; Metazoa; Chordata; Mammalia; Rodentia; Bathyergidae
Description: lncRNA (ENSFDAG00000030645.1)
Source: RNAcentral